GAGUCCAAGCCCAGCGGUGUUUGCGGCGGGUCCGGGGCCUGGAAGCGCGGGGGCGGCGCCGAGAGUGAGUAAGAAGUUCUGGAACAGCCUCAGUUCCAAAAAAAUGAGUCGCUUUGUUGCGGCAUUAAAUUUUGCCCCUAACUCGUGUGUCCCGGGGUGGCCCGGGAGCAGCGGGCCCUUCCUCUUCCAGGCUCCCUGGCCCCGGUCUUUGAUGACUCAGAGCUCCUGCGGUCACCGGGCCGCUCUGGAGACUCAUCAGAGCAGCUCCCCCAUCCCGUCAGCUCUGCGGUUACAGCCUCAGUUAAUUUCCAAAGUCGCCCACUUUCAAAACACGAUCUUAGGGCGGGACGAGAUGUACGCAUCUUCCCGUGGCCAGCAGCAGUGAUGGCAACGCUGUAGGCACCUCCUUCCCUUAGGAAGAAGCCAAACAUUUCACGAAGUCCUUCUGUGCUUUUAGACGAAACUGGAAAAUGGCCUUCAUUGGAAAAGCCCCAGUCCUCGGGGAGCAGAUCCCCCAUCUCUGGCAGUGCAGUGCGCCUGGGAGCUGUCUGGAACAUUCCGCAACGGUCACUCCUCUGCCCUGCAUUGGCCUUGACCACAUGACCCAGAGGUGCAGGGAGAAGCCUCCCUUGGAUGCUUGGCGAGUGAGUUCAGCGGCUGAGAGUGUCUAAGGAGAGCCGGGAACACCGCACGCUUCCUGCAGAUGGCGGGGCAGACCUGUGUGCAAGAGUGCCUGAAGGGGAUCUCCUGUGGCGCUACCUGGUCACUUUCCAAAAAGGGAGUUUCCAGGCCAGAAGCCAUCCCUGCAGCAUUGUCUUUGUGCUCCAAGAGAAGCCCUGGCACACACUUCUGCUCAGAUGGAACCACUGUUCCCUCAGUGUCCUUGUCAGUACCAGCUGGUGACUUUCCUACUCAAACCCUUCCCUCACUCUCUGCCUCAUUUUCUCAAGGUGCCGUGUUUGCCUGAAAGGACAUUGGCAGCCAGCAGGGGCGGCGGCUGGUCCUCUAGAUGGGCACGAAUGCCAUUGGCAGGCAAUGGGGCAGACUCCAUGGAAAGAUGCUUCCCUUCCUCAAGGUAUGCACUCAGCGGGGAGACCUCAUUGUCAAGUUCAGAGUUACGCUGCAGACUGCACAGCACCUCGCCUGCUUCUAGGGCCUGCUCCGGUCAGCCCAGGACCCACCACAGCAGGACCCCCCAUCCUGUGCUCACCCGGGGCUUGUCCAUGGCACUGGAAACUCCUUCCUGUUCCUGAUCCCCCUCUGGGCGAGGGGUGGGCAGGGACAUGUGGCUCGUGCCGAGGUCUAAUACUGUGUUCCCAGCAUGGAAGCAGGUGGGGACACUUCCUGUGGCAUGCAGGAUUCCGUGUAGAAAACUGUGACUGUCACCCCUCCUCCCCACUCAGUUUUGUUAGUGGACCUUUCCCUGGCCCUUCUCUCCUUGGCCCCCUCUUGGCAGGAGAGAGGAGGAGAGGAUCUCACUUUCCCCCUGUACCAGCCACACCCUCGGUCUGCGGGGUUCCCAGCAGCUGGCCAGGGAUGCUCCACACCUGGAGAUCAAGUAACCGUCCCCUCACUCUGGGCAUCGGUGCCCUCUCUGGGGUUGGAACAGGAAAGAAAGCCAAGACCUGUAUGUGGGACUUGAGUUGAGACUCAAUUCUGUAGAGUCAGGGGUGAGGAGGAGCCAGGCCUCCUGUGUGCUCUCCCUACCCCAGAGCCGGGUGCCCAGUUCCAUGGGUCCUGAUGGACAGAAGGGAAGAACAGGGGGGCUGCUGCACCGUGGGUGGUAAUGCAGUGGGAGCCACCUCCAGCUGAAUGCCCAGGGACUCCUGGGGCUGCUGGCCCCGGGUCCCAGCAGUGGGUCCUGUUUCUUCUUUACUCUCGGAAUGCAGGAUCUGCCACACCAAAACGUCCCCUCCACAUUUGGUGAAAUAGGAAGCUCCAUGGCAUGCCUUCCAUCUUUCAAGGUGACUGAGAGGUUUAUUUUCAUAGGAGCCUCAGUGGCCUUGUCCGUACCCACCUCUGCACGUGGUUGCAGAAAGUGAAGGAUUGUCAGGGAGCAGGGCAGACAUUUGGUUUAUCUGUGUCAUUGGUCAAAGUUUUGUUUUUCCUCCAGAAGAAAAAGGCUUGUGAACAUGCCACCGUAUUCUUCAUUCCUUCUUUUGGAAAUGUACGAAGAACGGGUGGCAUUUUGGAGUUAUUGGCCUGUGAACAGCUGGCCCAGAGGAAGGGUUGGAUGUGGGUGGGUGUGGCCGCCUCUGCCCCUCCCCAGCGCAGGUGUGUGUGGGCAGCCCAGGCAGGCGCUCAGGAAGGGUGAGGUGGAGCCCUGCACGCUCUGAGCACAAAGUCCUGGGAUCCCUUAAACCCAAGCACUGCCUUGACAGCAGCCAGCAUGGCUGAUAGAAGAGACACAGAAGUCCAGCUGAUGCCAGACAGAGGGUGUCACUAGAGAGCCGUGCUAGGUGGGGGUCAUUCAAGUUGUCUUGGUGUAUGCAGACGUUGCUUCUAGAGAGUCAGAAGCUCUAUAUGCGUAGUGUUGGAGCAGAAUUUCGGGAUAGUGAUGGCAAGCCUCCUCCCAAGCCAGCUGGGGAGUAUGGGGAGGGGGUGGCCGGAGGAACCUGGCAUCCCCGGGUUAGGACCACAGAGGUGGCUCUGCCUGCAGCUGGGCCUCUGCCUCAUCCUGACUCCCCCUGCUUUGGUCAUGGCUCUUCUUGUCCUUCCUCUUCUCAGUGCAGGAGGACCCUGAAUCAAAUGCCUCAUCCUGGUUUGCAUUUUACCCUCGGAUGAAGCUUGUGGCGAACCCCAGGACUCUGUGUCUCCUGAGUCUCUGCAGACCUCGGGUCCUGGACCCAGAGACUCUUCUCCCUGGGACAGGAGGCACUGGGAUGGGUGGACAGGGGUGGCCUGGGGCACAGUAGCUGACGGGGGGACUUCCUAGCCUUCUGGGCCUUUCCAACUCUGAGUGUGACCUUCCUAUUCUUGAUCACAGCCCCCAACUUCAGAGCCUGCUAGAGCCUGCAGAAUGCGGCUUCAUCCUCUUCCUCUGUGAGAAAAGGCGGGGCCUGGCAGUCCCGCCAAUCUUGUAUAUUUGCUCCCCACCUCGGUGGUGAAUACAUUCUUGGGUGGUGAAUAGGUUCUCUCCUUGCCUUCACUCUAGAAAAGUCCCCUGUUUUGUGAUGUAGGAUGUGGUCAAUGACUGACUCGUCCCUUUGGACCAUAGACGCAGCUCUGAUUUCUGGUGUUCCUGGGCUCUGCACACAGCAGGAACCACUCUGGGCUUUCAGGGAUGCAUCUUCUUGCUCACUUUUUCUUGUUGGCUCUUCUCCCUGCGUCUUCUGCCACUGCCCUGUUCUGGGUGGGAGGCUGUCACGCUGUGGUGGGGGGUCCCCUCUCCUGCCUCCCCUCUUUGAUCCUUUUCUGUGAGGGUCUGCUGGGGUCCUGUGUGUCGUGCAUUGUUGAUAGAUUCCUGUCGUGCUUGCUGUCCUCCCCAUUCUAAGGGACCUCUGAAUGCCUGUGAGCAGUUUACAGGGGCCUCUCCUGGCCCCUUCACCCGAGGAAUUCCCGCAACGCGUGAGUUUGUGAGGGGCGGAUCCUGGGAGGAUGUGACGUCAGGUGAGAAGGGAGGGCCCGUCCUAGUCCGGUGGGCUCCUCUAACAAAGUGCAUUAGCCUGGGGAGUUACUGACGCCCGAAAUAUGUCGUCAAAGUUCUGAAGGCUGAGAAGUCCAAGAUCAAGAUGCCUGAGGAUUCAGUGCCUGGUGAGGACCCAUUCCUUAGGGCAGUGCCUCUAGCUGUGUCCUCAUGUGGCCGAAGGGGACAAGGGAGGUUGCUGGAGCCUGUUUGAUGAGAGCACUACCUUCCUUCAGGAGGGGAUUAUUCAGAAAGUCUGUCUGGUUUCAGGGCAUUCCCAAAGGCCCCACCUGUUCAUUCUACCCCAUUGGGAAUUAGGCUUCAACAUACAAAUUUGGGAGACACUGACAUUUAGGCCAUAGCACGUCAAAGGCAAAGUGAGGCUGAGUGUGGAAACCAUCCAAGAAUCUGGAUGUGGCCCAGGCAGAAGGAAACUCAAAGUGAUGGGGUGACCGAUGGUCCCUGGUCUGUGCAGGACUCAGCGGUGCGGAUGGCCCUGGGCACGGUGGCAGUGGCUGUUGGAGGAUGAUAGGGAACAUGUUGGUGGGGGGAGGGUGGAGCCCACUAUGAGUGGCAACUCCCUGGGGGCACAGGAAGCAAAGCUAGAGGUGGCUCCCCUCUCCCCUCCCUGCACACAGUGUCACCUCUGUGGUGGCCCUGUCAUCCGCCUCAGUUCACAGGUGUUGCUGUAACAACUCCUGAAAUUACCUCCAAAAGGAGGCUCGUGCAGGUGCCUGCAGGAGCCAGGAGGCCGAAGUGCAUCCUGAGUGUCCGGGGACAGGCCAGCCUGGUGGGGUCCACAGCCCCACAGUCCCAACGACUGCCUCAGAAAUGGGCAGAGAGCAUGCCUGGUUCUAGCUGGCAAGGCCCACAUCUCAGAGCUGUGGACAGUCAUGAAGGGUCCGUGAGCAUGGAGAGGGGGCAAAAAUGACCCAUGAACCUCAGGCCACUGUGCUGCCAUCCAGCCAAGUGCGGUACCAGCCCUUCGGGCCUCGAGAUCCUCUACCCUUCUCUGGGCCUUGCUGAUUUCCUCCUCCAGCCCCUCUGUUUGUGUACGCACAUACACACAGGCACGCACGCACACGCACACCCAGUGCAAUUUCUCUCUGCUCCCUGUACUCCCCAGAAUUCAAUGGGUUCCUCUUUCCUCCUCAGAGAUAUAGUCCUGGGCCCCAUCUCAGCCUGCAGAGGCCUAAACGUUUCCCAGGAUUGUCUUCUAAUUCUCAGGUCCUGCUUUAAAACAAAACCUAAACUAAACCUAAAAUGCUUUCUGAAAAGAAUAAUACACCAACAUAAAGUCCGGGUAUCCUAAGCAUGUGGUGUGUAUGGUGUCUGAAAUUGAAUAUGCUGUGAAACUGCCUGUGUCGAAACACAGUGUUUCCCAAGACCUGGAGGCUCUCUCUCUCCAGUUGCUGAUUGUGAUCACCUCUCCCGAUCACCGCUGAGCCCUGCAGGUCACCUUCUCCUGACCUAUUACACCACUGAUUGCUUAUGCUGGGCACAAUUUUAUACCCUUGCUGUUGUUCAGUCUAAUCAUCCCUAUAACCCUAUCGGAUCAUUCCCAUAUGACAGAGGAGAAAACUUGGGGACACAGGGGCUGUGUCCUGGCCAAGGCCUUGCUUGCAGCAAAAGGCAGAGCUGGGAUCUAGCCAGGAGCCCCUGCACAGUCCUGUUCUUCCCCCACUAAACUGAGCUGUGAAAUAGAUCAUGGCGGUCUGGAAAACGAGCUAACUCCGUGCCGAUGGAGGUGUUGAUGGAUGUCCACCACUCUCCACUUGGGAGGAAGCCUUAACAUUCCCCGCAGGUCUAGCUUCUCUCUGUGGCUGAGUACCUUGGGAAAGCGGGCUCAGAGGAGGAAAGGGACUUACUUGCCCAAGGGCCACAGCUGCCAAGUGGCAGGUAAGGGACCGUUAUUCUCCUGUCCCUUUCACAGAGGACAGGAGGAAAGUGAGGACAGGUGGUGUACAUGCAUCUUUUCCGCAGCAGGCCCAGAUCAGCUCUGCACACGGUGCUGACCUCAAAUUCAGCCCUAGAGGGGCCUGUCUCUGCCCUGAGUGAGUAUUGAGGUGCAGGCUUCUUCCCCUUUGUUCUGUCCAUUUCCAAAAAUGUGAACACACACCUCCAACAUGUUUCUGUGUAUAUUAUUGUGUGCAUAGAUACUACCAUUGUAAAAUAUUAUGCAGAUUAAUAAUGCACUAUGCCAUUGAAAAUUUCAAAAGAAAUGUGUAAUAAACAUUUAAAAUUAAUAUUUUUGUUCUCAGUUGUUAAGGGAUAUAAUCAGGUUCUCUGCAAAAUACUAUGGUUUAAAAAUAACAAAGAUAAUAUGGGUAUUAAUAACAUUUCAUCAACAGGAAUGAUGGAGAAUGCUUCAGUUUUUCUGUAGGGAUUUAAUUUUUGAAUUGGGAUUUUGGGUAAGAUAUCUUUAGGAUAAAAUAUGUGCACACAAGAAAAUAGCAUAUUUUUCCUAAAAAUUUGUUUUUUAUGCAUUAUUAUAUACACAUAAAAAUAGUCUUAUUUUGGCUGGGCACAGUGGCUCACGCCUGUAAUCCAAGCACUUUGGGAGGCCGAGGCAGGUAGAUCACCUGAGUUCAGGAGUUGGAGAACAGCCUGGUCAACAUGGUGAAACCCCAUCUCUAUUGAAAAUAGAAAAAACAUUAGAUGAGCAUGGGGCGGGCACCCAUAAUCCCAGCUACUUGGGAGGCUGAGGCAGGAGAAUCGCUUGAACCCGGGAGGUGGAGGUUGCAGUGAGCCAAGAUAGCACUGUUGCACUCCAGCCUGGGCAAUAAGAGCAAAAUUCCAUCUUAAAAAAAAAAGAAAGAAGUAGUUUUAUUUCAAAAUUAGAAGCAAAAAGAAAAUAAAUAUAUCCUGCUAUAGAGACUUGUCUUCGGAUGCUUAUGACCUCCUGUAAAUGCAGUUCCUCCCUCAUCCCCGUCUAAGUAUCCUUCCUCAGCCUCCUCAAAUUGGAGCCUGCGUCAUCAGAACCACGUGGAAGGCUCUAAAAACAUUGACAGCAUAGAGGGAGACCCUAUCUCCAAAAAACAAAACAAAAAACCCUUUAUUUUUAAUGGGAUAAAGAGUUAAAUGGUAGUUAGAUAUUCAAGUUUUGUAUGCUCCAUGAACAAACAAACAAACAAAAACACACGACACUUGAUGGAGACUGCAGGCCUGUGUUCUGUACCUGGCUUUGAGGGAGUGAUUGGAUGGGAUGGUGUGCUUCCUGUGCCUGUCCUGUCCACUCUGGGUUUAAUUUACUCUCAGUUGGCCAUUGUUCUUUCCAUGAUCUUAUUUUCCAGGCAUUGUCCUAGGACCCAAGGUCUCUUACAUUCUUACAUGUAACAGUAAGAAUUCUUACAAUAAGAAUUGAGAGAGUAGAAGCUAUUUUUCCUAUGACUUAGAACUUUGGGGGAAGUUUAAAGGGAGAUACUGCAUGUAUUCUGUGUCAUCAUCUAAUUUCUACAGACCCUUCUUAAGGAACUGACAUUAAUGUUGUACUUAAUUCUUCAGGCAGUGUGGGCCAAAAAUAAAGCCAAAUAUACAUUUAGUCUAAAAGUACAAGUCAUAUUAUUUCCAUCAGUGGAUUCCUAUAAUCCUAUGAAUAAAAUCUUAUACAUUGGCUUAUAA
RNAcentral lists this long non-coding RNA (7246 nucleotides) under Pan troglodytes (chimpanzee). Its description in RNAcentral is "lincRNA". Lineage: Eukaryota; Metazoa; Chordata; Mammalia; Primates; Hominidae. The record is from RNAcentral.